GCGCAUGUGGUGAAAUUGGUAUACACGCUAGAUUUAGGUUCUAGUGCCGCGAGGCGUGGAGGUUCAAGUCCUCUCAUGCGCA
This 82-nucleotide transfer RNA is filed under the name Candidatus Ancillula kalotermitis. Its description in RNAcentral is "tRNA-Leu". It matches the Rfam family "tRNA". From Rfam's summary of the family: Transfer RNA (tRNA) molecules are approximately 80 nucleotides in length. Lineage: Bacteria; Bacillati; Actinomycetota; Actinomycetes; Bifidobacteriales; Bifidobacteriaceae. The record is from RNAcentral.